UAAUACGUAGGUGGCAAGCGUUGUCCGGAAUUAUUGGGCGUAAAGCGCGCGCAGGCGGUUCCUUAAGUCUGAUGUGAAAUCUCGCGGCUCAACCGCGAGCGGCCAUUGGAAACUGGGGAACUUGAGUGCAGGAGAGGGGAGCGGAAUUCCACGUGUAGCGGUGAAAUGCGUAGAGAUGUGGAGGAACACCAGUGGCGAAGGCGGCUCUCUGGCCUGUAACUGACGCUGAGGCGCGAAAGCGUGGGGAGCGAACAGGAUUAGAUACCCUGGUAGUCCACGCCGUAAACGAUGAGUGCUAAGUGUUAGAGGGUAUCCACCCUUUAGUGCUGCAGCAAACGCAUUAAGCACUCCGCCUGGGGAGUACGGCCGCAAGGCUGAA
This 379-nucleotide ribosomal RNA is filed under the name uncultured bacterium. Its description in RNAcentral is "bacterial SSU rRNA". It matches the Rfam family "Bacterial small subunit ribosomal RNA", at positions 521 to 898 of the family's 1533-position model. The record is from RNAcentral.